RNAcentral lists this ribosomal RNA (250 nucleotides) under uncultured bacterium. Its description in RNAcentral is "partial 16S ribosomal RNA". It matches the Rfam family "Bacterial small subunit ribosomal RNA", at positions 524 to 773 of the family's 1533-position model. The record is from RNAcentral.
UACGGAGGGUGCGAGCGUUAAUCGGAAUUACUGGGCGUAAAGCGCGCGUAGGCGGUUGAGUAAGUCAGAUGUGAAAGCCCCGGGCUUAACCUGGGAACUGCAUUUGAUACUGCUUGACUAGAGUGUGGUAGAGGGUAGUGGAAUUCCCGGUGUAGCAGUGAAAUGCGUAGAUAUCGGGAGGAACACCAGUGGCGAAGGCGGCUACCUGGACCAACACUGACGCUGAGGUGCGAAAGCGUGGGGAGCAAAC